RNAcentral lists this microRNA precursor (118 nucleotides) under Pelobates cultripes (western spadefoot toad). The record is from RNAcentral. Lineage: Eukaryota; Metazoa; Chordata; Amphibia; Anura; Pelobatidae.
GGAGGCGGAGAGGAGGAGGAGAGUCCCCCUCCCGUAGGGCUGGAUGGAGAGGAAGGGGUUAAACUUACCUCUUUCUCCAGCGCCGGGAGGGGGACUCUCCUCCUCCUCUCCUCCUCCU